ACAGUCACACAUUAGAUACCCGUGUAGUCCCAGCCGUAAACUAUGCUCGCUAGGUGUCAGGCAUGGCGCGACCGUGUCUGGUGCCGCAGGGAAGCCGUGAAGCGAGCCACCUGGGAAGUACGGCCGCAAGGCUGAAACUUAAAGGAAUUGGCGGGGAGCACCACAACGGGUGGAGCCUGCGGUUUAAUUGGACUCAACGCCGGGAAGCUCACCGGAUAAGACAGCGGAAUGAUUGCCGGGCUGAAGACUCUGCAUGACUAGCUG
RNAcentral lists this ribosomal RNA (264 nucleotides) under uncultured archaeon. RNAcentral describes it as "partial 16S ribosomal RNA". It matches the Rfam family "Archaeal small subunit ribosomal RNA", at positions 719 to 982 of the family's 1478-position model. The record is from RNAcentral.